RNAcentral lists this ribosomal RNA (484 nucleotides) under Malassezia furfur. RNAcentral describes it as "eukaryotic LSU rRNA". It matches the Rfam family "Eukaryotic large subunit ribosomal RNA", at positions 117 to 607 of the family's 3401-position model. Lineage: Eukaryota; Fungi; Basidiomycota; Malasseziomycetes; Malasseziales; Malasseziaceae. The record is from RNAcentral.
GAAAGCUGGUACCUUCGGUAUCCGCGUUGUAACCUCGAGACACGUUUUCCGUGCGGCGCUAUGGACAAGUUCCUUGGAACAGGACAUCGUAGAGGGUGAAAAUCCCGUACUUGCCAUGGAUGUACCGUGCUUUGCGAUACGUGCUCUAAGAGUCGAGUUGUUUGGGAUUGCAGCUCAAAAUGGGUGGUAGACUCCAUCUAAAGCUAAAUAUCGGGGAGAGACCGAUAGCGAACAAGUACCGUGAGGGAAAGAUGAAAAGCACUUUGGAAAGAGAGUUAAAAGUACGUGAAAUUGUCGAAAGGGAAGCGCUUGAAGUCAGCCAUGCCGCUCAGGACUCAGCCUGGCUUUUGCUUGGUGUAUUUCCUGGUAGCAAGUCAGCAUUGGUUUGGAUCGUCGGAGAAGCAUAGUUGGAAUGUGGCGCCCUCGGGCGUGUUAUAGCCUUCUAUUGGAUACGACGAUCUGGACCAAGGAACGCAGCGCGCCU